Cicer arietinum (chickpea) is the source of this 231-nucleotide non-coding RNA. NCBI's taxonomy places the organism in Eukaryota, Viridiplantae, Streptophyta, Magnoliopsida, Fabales, Fabaceae. The record is from Rfam.
AGGUCAUAUAUACAGCCAAGGAUGACUUGCCGGCGUGCUUCUUUUGGUAAUUUUAAGACCUACUAAUCAUUUGGAUAACCAAAGCUCUUAAACUCGCUUUGCACUAAAAGAACAUGUCUUGUUAUUUUUGUGCAAACUGAGUUUAGAGACCUUACAAUGGCUACCAAAAGAUUGUAGGUUCUAAUGUGACUAAUUGACCGGCAAGUCGUCUUUGGCUAUAUAAAGGCCUCC